RNAcentral lists this ribosomal RNA (464 nucleotides) under Vreelandella stevensii. RNAcentral's name for it is "partial 16S ribosomal RNA". It matches the Rfam family "Bacterial small subunit ribosomal RNA", at positions 339 to 795 of the family's 1533-position model. Lineage: Bacteria; Pseudomonadati; Pseudomonadota; Gammaproteobacteria; Oceanospirillales; Halomonadaceae. The record is from RNAcentral.
CUACGGGGGGCAGCAGUGGGGAAUAUUGGACAAUGGGCGAAAGCCUGAUCCAGCCAUGCCGCGUGUGUGAAGAAGGCCUUCGGGUUGUAAAGCACUUUCAGUGGGGAAGAAAGCCUUGGGGCUAAUACCCUCGAGGAAGGACAUCACCCACAGAAGAAGCACCGGCUAACUCCGUGCCAGCAGCCGCGGUAAUACGGAGGGUGCGAGCGUUAAUCGGAAUUACUGGGCGUAAAGCGCGCGUAGGCGGUCUGAUAAGCCGGUUGUGAAAGCCCCGGGCUCAACCUGGGAACGGCAUCCGGAACUGUCAGGCUAGAGUGCAGGAGAGGAAGGUAGAAUUCCCGGUGUAGCAGUGAAAUGCGUAGAGAUCGGGAGGAAUACCAGUGGCGAAGGCGGCCUUCUGGACUGACACUGACGCUGAGGUGCGAAAGCGUGGGUAGCAAACAGGAUUAGAUACCCCAGUAGUC